GAUCAACGCUGGCGGCGUGCCUAAUGCAUGCAAGUCGAACGGCGCUCCUUUGGGGCGCAGUGGCAGACGGGUGCGGAACACGUGGGUAAUCUAGCCGCUUCUGGGGGAUACCUGCCCGAAAGGGUGGUUAAUACCGCAUGAGCUCGCUUCUGGGUCGACGGAAGUGAGGAAAGGCGUAAGCCGGGAGUGGGGGAGCCUGCGGCCGAUUAGCUGGUUGGUGGGGUAAUGGCCUACCAAGGCGACGAUCGGUAGCCGGUCUGAGAGGACGGCCGGCCAC
Molecule: ribosomal RNA, 277 nt
Filed under: uncultured bacterium
Lineage: Bacteria
Description: partial 16S ribosomal RNA
Rfam family: Bacterial small subunit ribosomal RNA
Source: RNAcentral